GACGAACGCUGGCGGCGUGCUUAACACAUGCAAGUCGAACGGAAAGGCCCUGCUUUUGUGGGGUGCUCGAGUGGCGAACGGGUGAGUAACACGUGAGUAACCUGCCCUUGACUUUGGGAUAACUUCAGGAAACUGGGGCUAAUACCGGAUAGGAGCUCCUGCUGCAUGGUGGGGGUUGGAAAGUUUCGGCGGUUGGGGAUGGACUCGCGGCUUAUCAGCUUGUUGGUGGGGUAGUGGCUUACCAAGGCUUUGACGGGUAGCCGGCCUGAGAGGGUGACCGGCCCGAUGGGUUGUGGUAUAGGCCCCGGCCCCCACCGGGGGGCAGCGGGGGGGAUUUUUGCCAAAUGGGGGGAAGCCUAAUGCACCAACGCCCGGGGGGGGAUGGCGGCCUUCGGGUUGUAACCCGCUUUCGCCUGGGGCGAAGGGGGGGUGGCGUUAAUGGGUAAAAAAGCCCCGGCUAACUCCGU
RNAcentral lists this ribosomal RNA (467 nucleotides) under uncultured bacterium. Its description in RNAcentral is "partial 16S ribosomal RNA". It matches the Rfam family "Bacterial small subunit ribosomal RNA", at positions 28 to 506 of the family's 1533-position model. The record is from RNAcentral.